Long non-coding RNA from Engraulis encrasicolus (European anchovy), 964 nucleotides. RefSeq lists it as uncharacterized. The record is from RefSeq and is a predicted model, not a curated record. NCBI's taxonomy places the organism in Eukaryota, Metazoa, Chordata, Actinopteri, Clupeiformes, Engraulidae. The transcript is spliced from 4 exons.
UGUUGGGGAAUUGUGCUGCUGCUAGAACCAGGACUCUAAAGUAACAUUUUUCAUCACUGGCCAAAAUGAUGAGUAGAUGUGGAGCUUACUAGCCAAACUCACCCUCACAAUCUCAGGGUGGCUGCUAGCAGAUUUUUAUUGUCUGUUGGUCAAACUGAGUUUUGGCCAGUUGGCGGGUGCUAAUUUGGAGCUGCAUGAAUCUCUGGCCUUGAUGACAAAACUUGCCCUCACUGAGCGUUUUCUAAAACCCGAUAAUGAUCCGUUAUUACCCUGAGCCAGAUGAAGAAUAUUCCAUAUAGAAUGUUGGCCAUGCAUUCUAGAAUACUAAUGAAGGCUUCCAUCUUCUACAGGCUGGAGAGCUGACUGGUCUCGGACGUGGACUACAGCUGCAGCCAAACAGCUUUGGCGUCUGCCCUCCCAGCGGUGAUGAAUGGGACCUAACAGCAAGAUGUACAGGAUCCCGAUUAAGGGGCGGAGUUCUGAUGGGCUGUGCUGUUCCGGAACUCUGUCUGGAUGUGACUCGCUGGUCCGGAACUCCACCUGGAUGUGGGCCUGUGCUGGUCCGGAACUCCUGUGCCGGAUGUGACCCGGAUGUGGGCCUGUGCUGGUCCAGAACUCGUGACCCAGAUGUGGUCCUAUGCUGGUCCGGAACUCCUGGGCCGGAUGUGGGCCUGUGCUGGUCCGGAACUCGUGACCCGGAUGUGGGCCUGUGCAGGUCCUCAUGAAGGCGGGGGCCCUCGGCUGCUGCCUGAAGUUUCUACCCAGGGCCCUGUGAGGCGACCGCAGGGAUUCCGCAGUGCAUGACUUUUGACUGCAGGGGGCGCUGAUGUCACGUUGCAGUUGGACUUCAGUGGCUUUCUUUCUUUGGGGCCGUUAUUUGAGCUCCAUGACUCUCUAGCGGCCGUCCUUCAGUAUAUGUACCUGCAACACUGGACUCUUUAAUAAACACCUUUCAGUGACUACA